Molecule: microRNA precursor, 101 nt
Filed under: Marmota monax (woodchuck)
Lineage: Eukaryota; Metazoa; Chordata; Mammalia; Rodentia; Sciuridae
Source: RNAcentral
AACACAACUGCUGGAUCACAUGGUAAAAGUAUUUAGCUUUAUAAGAAACUGUCAAACUGCCUUCCAAAGCGGUUUCACCCUGUUGCAUUCCCACCAGCAAA